UACGUAGGUGGCAAGCGUUGUCCGGAUUUAUUGGGUUUAAAGGGUGCGUAGGUGGCUUUUUAAGUCAGUGGUGAAAGUUUGUCGCUCAACGAUAAAAUUGCCAUUGAAACUGGAGAGCUUGAGUAUGUUUGAGGUAGGCGGAAUGCGUAGUGUAGCGGUGAAAUGCAUAGAUAUUACGCAGAACUCCAAUUGCGAAGGCAGCUUACUAAACCAUAACUGACACUGAAGCACGAAAGCGUGGGUAUCAAACAGG
Molecule: ribosomal RNA, 253 nt
Filed under: uncultured bacterium
Lineage: Bacteria
Description: partial 16S ribosomal RNA
Rfam family: Bacterial small subunit ribosomal RNA
Source: RNAcentral